CAGCUCCCCUUUAUCCGACCAGCCGCCACGUCCUGCAACCAAAAGUAACCGGGAUGAAUGUCUGGCCCCC
This 70-nucleotide long non-coding RNA is filed under the name Nannospalax galili (Upper Galilee mountains blind mole rat). RNAcentral's name for it is "H19 conserved region 2 (ENSNGAG00000009261.1)". It matches the Rfam family "H19 conserved region 2". The record is from RNAcentral. Lineage: Eukaryota; Metazoa; Chordata; Mammalia; Rodentia; Spalacidae.